Molecule: ribosomal RNA, 497 nt
Filed under: uncultured bacterium
Lineage: Bacteria
Description: partial 16S ribosomal RNA
Rfam family: Bacterial small subunit ribosomal RNA
Source: RNAcentral
GAUGAACGCUGGCGGCGUGCCUAAUACAUGCAAGUCGAGCGAACGGACGAGAAGCUUGCUCCUCUGAUGUUAGCGGCGGACGGGUGAGUAACACGUGGAUAACCUACCUAUAAGACUGGGAUAACUUCGGGAAACCGUAGCUAAUACCGGAUAAUAUUUUGAACCGCAUGGUUCAAAAGUGAAAGACGGUCUUGCUGUCACUUAUAGAUGGAUCCGCGCUGCAUUAGCUAGUUGGUAAGGUAACGGCUUACCAAGGCAACGAUGCAUAGCCGACCUGAGGGGGUGAUCGGCCACACUGGAACUGAGACACGGCCCAGACUCCUACGGGAGGCAGCAGUAGGGAAUCUUCCGCAAUGGGCGAAAGCCUGACGGAGCAACGCCGCGUGAGUGAUGAAGGUCUUCGGAUCGUAAAACUCUGUUAUUAGGGAAGAACAUAUGUGUAAGUAACUGUGCACAUCUUGACGGUGCCUAAUCAGAAAGCCACGGCUAACUACGUG